Non-coding RNA from Cordylochernes scorpioides, 94 nucleotides. The record is from the annotation of a GenBank genome assembly. NCBI's taxonomy places the organism in Eukaryota, Metazoa, Arthropoda, Arachnida, Pseudoscorpiones, Chernetidae.
AUGUCCUUACCACAUUGAAAAACACUGGUUCUCAUUCGAUUACCAAAGUUAAGCAAUGUCGGUCAGUAUUUGGGAGGGUGACAUAACAAAAAUA